AAUUGAGGGGGGCUGCUCCUAGUACGAGAGGACCGGAGUGGACGCAUCACUGGUGUUCGGGUUGUCAUGCCAAUGGCACUGCCCGGUAGCUAAAUGCGGAAAAGAUAAGUGCUGAAAGCAUCUAAGUACGAAACUUGCCCCGAGAUGAGUUCUCCCUGAGACUUUGAGUCUCCUGAAGGAACGUUAAAGACGAUGACGUUGAUAGGCCGGGUGUGUAAGCGCAGCGAUGCGUUGAGCUAACCGGUACUAAUGAACCGUGAGGCUUAACCUUACAACGCCGAAGCUGUU
RNAcentral lists this ribosomal RNA (288 nucleotides) under Salmonella enterica subsp. diarizonae. Its description in RNAcentral is "partial 23S ribosomal RNA". It matches the Rfam family "Bacterial large subunit ribosomal RNA", at positions 2660 to 2925 of the family's 2925-position model. The record is from RNAcentral. Lineage: Bacteria; Pseudomonadati; Pseudomonadota; Gammaproteobacteria; Enterobacterales; Enterobacteriaceae.